GCUUGUCUCAAAGAUUAAGCCAUGCAUGUCUCAGCAUAAGCCUUUUCACGGUGAAACUGCAAAUGGCUCAUUAAAGCAGUUACAAUUUAUUUGAUGGUGACUGUUACAUGGAUAACUGUGGUAAUUCUAGAGCUAAUACAUGCGUCAAGUCCCAACUUGAUGGAAGGGCUGUGCUUAUUAGAUACAAAACCAAUUCAGGCUUGCCUGAUUGAUUGGUGAUUCAUGAUAACUGUAUGAAUUGAAUGGCUUUGGCUGUCAAUGCAUCAUUCAAGUUUCUGACCUAUCAGCUUUGGAUGGUAGGGUAUUGGCCUACCAUGGCUUUAACGGGUAACGGAGAAUUAGGGUUCGAUUCCGGAGAGGGAGCCUGAGAAAUGGCUACCACAUCCAAGGAAGGCAGCAGG
RNAcentral lists this ribosomal RNA (401 nucleotides) under uncultured Suessiales. Its description in RNAcentral is "partial small subunit ribosomal RNA". It matches the Rfam family "Eukaryotic small subunit ribosomal RNA", at positions 30 to 432 of the family's 1831-position model. The record is from RNAcentral. Lineage: Eukaryota; Dinophyceae; Suessiales.